UACUAAUUUAUAGCUGUUUUAAAUUUAUACUUUGUUAAAAAAUUACAUCGAUGGAAUAAUAAUAAUUUUUUAAGUUAAUAAAUUUUACCUUUGGUAUAAUGGUUACACAAAAAUUAUAUUGAAUAAUAUUUCCCGAAUUGAGAAGAGCUAUCUAUGGGCUUGUCUUAGAAAAUAAACAAGUUAUGUCGAAAUAUGGCUAAAAGACCUUUAGAUAGGAGCGAAAAACUUUCAAUUCUCAGGAUAUCUGGUAGUCUUAGAAAAGCAUUUAGUGCUGAAAAAUUAGAUACAAAGUGAUGAAAUUUUGUAUAAUUAGAAUUAUAAAUUUUAUUUUUGGAUUCUAGAAUUAAUCUUACAGAAUUCUUUCUAUUAAAACUAUUUAUUUUUUAUUUAAUCUAUAUUAUAUAAGACUUUUUCAAAUAAUUUUGUUUGGAACUAAUAAUGUGUAAAUGAGUAGUGUAUUAGUAUAAAAUAUAAUAUUUUAAUAUAAAUAUUUUAGUUAUGCUUAUUUUUAUUAAUUAAUUAAAAGGAACUCGGCAAAUAGAAACUUCGACUGUUUAACAAAAACAUAGCCUUAGGAAAUAAAUCUUAGGUUAGACCUGCCCAAUGUAAUUUUAUCAAUGGCCGCGGUACUUUGACCGUGCUAAGGUAGCGCAAUCAAUUGGCUUUUAAUUGGAGCCAGGUAUGAAUGGAGUCACGGGGUUUAGCUGUCUCUAAAUUAAUUUAUUGAAGUUACUAUCUAGGUGAAAAAGCCUAGAAAAAGAAAAAGGACGAGAAGACCCUUAGAGUUUUCCUUAUAGUAGAUUAUUUCUAUAACAGUUUAGUUGGGGCAACAUAGGAUCAGAAUUAUAACAUCCUUAAAAUAAUUUACCGAUUAUAAUAAAUUUGAAUAAACUACCUUAGGGAUAACAGCAUAAUUUUAUAAAUAAGUUUGUGACCUCGAUGUUGGACUAGGAAACUGAAGGGCUAGCCGCCUUUUAGGAAAGUUCUGUUCGAACUAUUAUUCCU
This 1005-nucleotide ribosomal RNA is filed under the name Ancula gibbosa. RNAcentral's name for it is "LSU rRNA". The stretch from base 465 to 754 matches the Rfam family "Archaeal large subunit ribosomal RNA", at positions 1786 to 2143 of the family's 2987-position model. Lineage: Eukaryota; Metazoa; Mollusca; Gastropoda; Nudibranchia; Goniodorididae. The record is from RNAcentral.